GAGCAGCCAGAUCCGUCAGAUCCGUCGCAAGAUGGUUGAGAUCAUGAGAAACCAAGCAAGUUCCUGUGACCUGAAGGAGUUGGUAGCAAAGUUCAUCCCUGAAUCAAUUGGUAGAGAGAUUGAGAAAGCUACUUCAAGCAUUUUUCCACUCCAAAAUGUUUAUAUUCGCAAAGUGAAGAUCCUGAAGGCCCCUAAAUUCGAUCUUGGCAAGCUGAUGGAGGUGCAUGGUGACUAUUCAGAAGAUGUUGGUGUGAAGUUGGAUCGACCCGCUGAAGAAACAGUGGCUGAGGCAGAGACAGAGGUCCCUGGAGCUUAGACUUUGUUUCAUUUUGGAUUUCCUGUCUGAAUAUGGAUUCUAGUCUUCUAAAAUUUUGCAUUUGUUUUAGUUGAGUUUGUCAAAGGCGUGACCUACCAAAAUUUUGGAUCUAUUUAUUUUGGUUAUGCUUGAUGUUAAACUAUUCACAAUUUAAGAUAUCGUUUUUC
Molecule: unclassified non-coding RNA, 483 nt
Filed under: Hevea brasiliensis (rubber tree)
Lineage: Eukaryota; Viridiplantae; Streptophyta; Magnoliopsida; Malpighiales; Euphorbiaceae
Source: RNAcentral